RNAcentral lists this ribosomal RNA (729 nucleotides) under uncultured bacterium. Its description in RNAcentral is "bacterial SSU rRNA". It matches the Rfam family "Bacterial small subunit ribosomal RNA", at positions 45 to 878 of the family's 1533-position model. The record is from RNAcentral.
CGCCUAACACAUGCAAGUCGAACGGAGUGGCGGACGGGUGAGUAACGCGUGAGUAACCUGCCCUUAUGAGUGGAAUAACGUCCGGAAACAGACGCUAAUACCGCAUACAUAAGGAUGGACUCGCGUCCCAUUAGAUAGUUGGCGGGGUAACGGCCCACCAAGUCAGCGAUGGGUAGCCGGACUGAGAGGUUGACCGGUCACAUUGGAACUGAGAGACGGUCCAGACUCCUACGGGAGGCAGCAGUGGGGAAUAUUGGGCAAUGGGCGAAAGCCUGACCCAGCGACGCCGCGUGAGCGAAGAAGGUCUUCGGAUUGUAAAGCUCUGUUGAUAGGGACGCGGUACCUAUCGAGGAAGCCACGGCUAACUACGUGCCAGCAGCCGCGGUAAAACGUAGGGUGCAAGCGUUGUCCGGAAUUACUGGGUGUAAAGGGAGCGCAGGCGGGAAGACAAGUUGGAAGUGAAAACCAUGGACUCAACCCAUGAAUUGUUUUCAAAACUGUUUUUCUUGAGUAGUGCAGAGGUAGAUGGAAUUCCCGGUGUAGCGGUGGAAUGCGUAGAUAUCGGGAGGAACACCAGUGGCGAAGGCGGUCUACUGGUCACCAACUGACGCUGAGGCUCGAAAGCAUGGGUAGCAAACAGGAUUAGAUACCCUGGUAGUCCAUGCCGUAAACAUGAUUACUAGGUGUGGGGCCGUGCCGGAGUUAACACAAUAAGUAAUCCACCUGGGG